Molecule: ribosomal RNA, 505 nt
Filed under: uncultured bacterium
Lineage: Bacteria
Description: partial 16S ribosomal RNA
Rfam family: Bacterial small subunit ribosomal RNA
Source: RNAcentral
GAUGAACGCUAGCUACAGGCUUAACACAUGCAAGUCGAGGGGUAACGAGAGGAAAGCUUGCUUUCCUUGUCGACGACCGGCGCACGGGUGAGUAACGCGUAUCCAACCUGCCCCCAACUAGGGAAUAACCUUGCGAAAGUAAGACUAAUACCCUAUAAUUUCCUCAGAUGACAUCUGACGAGGAAUAAAGAUUUAUCGGUUGUGGAUGGGAUGCGUCUGAUUAGCUUGUUGGCGGGGUAACGGCCCACCAAGGCAACGAUCAGUAGGGGUUCUGAGAGGAAGGUCCCCCACAGUGGAACUGAGACACGGUCCAAACUCCUACGGGAGGCAGCAGUGAGGAAUAUUGGUCAAUGGGCGGAAGCCUGAACCAGCCAAGUAGCGUGCAGGAUGUCGGCCCUAUGGGUUGUAAACUGCUUUUAUACAGGAAUAAAGUUAGCCACGUGUGGUUAUUUGUAGGUACUGUAUGAAUAAGGACCGGCUAAUUCCGUGCCAGCAGCCGCGGUAA